GACGAACGCUGGCGGCGUGCUUAACACAUGCAAGUCGUACGGUAAGGCCCUUUCGGGGGUCCACGAGUGGCGAACGGGUGAGUAACACGUGAGUAACCUGCCCACAACUUUGGGACAACGAUAGGAAACUGGAGCUAAUACUGGAUAUGUGCUCCUGCUGCAUGGUGGGGGUUGGAAAGCUCCGGCGGUUGUGGAUGGACUCGCGGCCUAUCAGCUUGUUGGUGGGGUAGUGGCCUACCAAGGCGGCGACGGGUAGCCGGCCUGAGGGGGUGACCGGCCACAUUGGGACUGAGAUACGGCCCAGACUCCUACGGGAGGCAGCAGUGGGGAAUAUUGCACAAUGGGCGCAAGCCUGAUGCAGCAGCGCCGCGUGCGGGAUGACGGCCUUCGGGUUGUAAACCGCUUUCAGCAGGGACGAAGCUUUUUGUGACGGUACCUGCAGAAGAAGCACCGGCUAACUACGUG
Molecule: ribosomal RNA, 465 nt
Filed under: uncultured bacterium
Lineage: Bacteria
Description: partial 16S ribosomal RNA
Rfam family: Bacterial small subunit ribosomal RNA
Source: RNAcentral